RNAcentral lists this ribosomal RNA (726 nucleotides) under Chaetoceros neogracilis. RNAcentral's name for it is "partial Bacterial small subunit ribosomal RNA". It matches the Rfam family "Bacterial small subunit ribosomal RNA", at positions 1 to 777 of the family's 1533-position model. The record is from RNAcentral. Lineage: Eukaryota; Bacillariophyta; Thalassiosirophyceae; Chaetocerotales; Chaetocerotaceae.
UUGAGAGUUUGAUCCUGGCUCAGAACGAACGCUGGCGGCAGGCCUAACACAUGCAAGUCGAGCGCUACCUUCGGGUGGAGCGGCGGACGGGUUAGUAACGCGUGGGAACGUACCCAGAUCUAAGGAAUAGCCACUGGAAACGGUGAGUAAUACCUUAUACGCCCUUCGGGGGAAAGAUUUAUCGGAUUUGGAUCGGCCCGCGUUAGAUUAGAUAGUUGGUGGGGUAACGGCCUACCAAGUCUACGAUCUAUAGCUGGUUUUAGAGGAUGAUCAGCAACACUGGGACUGAGACACGGCCCAGACUCCUACGGGAGGCAGCAGUGGGGAAUCUUAGACAAUGGGCGCAAGCCUGAUCUAGCCAUGCCGCGUGAGUGAUGAAGGUCUUAGGAUCGUAAAGCUCUUUCGCCAGAGAUGAUAAUGACAGUAUCUGGUAAAGAAACCCCGGCUAACUCCGUGCCAGCAGCCGCGGUAAUACGGAGGGGGUUAGCGUUGUUCGGAAUUACUGGGCGUAAAGCGCACGUAGGCGGAUUGGAAAGUUGGGGGUGAAAUCCCGGGGCUCAACCCCGGAACUGCCUCCAAAACUAUCAGUCUAGAGUUCGAGAGAGGUGAGUGGAAUUCCAAGUGUAGAGGUGAAAUUCGUAGAUAUUUGGAGGAACACCAGUGGCGAAGGCGGCUCACUGGCUCGAUACUGACGCUGAGGUGCGAAAGUGUGGGGAGCAAACAGGA